Molecule: RNase P RNA, 410 nt
Filed under: Alphaproteobacteria bacterium
Lineage: Bacteria; Pseudomonadati; Pseudomonadota; Alphaproteobacteria
Description: RNase P RNA component class A
Rfam family: Bacterial RNase P class A
About the family: Ribonuclease P (RNase P) is a ubiquitous endoribonuclease, found in archaea, bacteria and eukarya as well as chloroplasts and mitochondria. Its best characterised activity is the generation of mature 5'-ends of tRNAs by cleaving the 5'-leader elements of precursor-tRNAs.
Source: RNAcentral
UCAGGCGGCUGGGCGAUCGCUGGCGGGGAGACCUGCUGGAGGAAAGUCCGGGCUCCACGGAAGCAAGGCGGCGGGUAACCCCCGCCCGGGGACGGGGUCUUUGAUCCUGGAACCCGAGGGAUAGCGCCACAGAAAGCAAACCGCCCCAAGGCUGAGGCCUCAGGGGUAAGGGUGAAAGGGUGCGGUAAGAGCGCACCGCGGACCUGGCGACAGGGACGGCAUGGCAAGCCCCGCCUGGAGCAAGACCGAAUAGGGACGGAUGUCGGAGGCUUUCAGCUGCCGACGGGCGUGCGUCCGCGCCCCGUCCGGGUUGGUCGCGCGAGGCGAUCCGCAAGGAUCGUCCCAGAGGAAUGGUCGCUCAUCCGCCUUCGGGCGGGGGACAGAACCCGGCUUACAGGCCGCCUGAUCGA